UAGUUCAGUUGGUAGAGCGCUCCACCGGAAAUGGAGAGGUCCCUGGUUCGAUACCAGG
RNAcentral lists this transfer RNA (58 nucleotides) under Ixodes scapularis (black-legged tick). It matches the Rfam family "tRNA", at positions 8 to 63 of the family's 71-position model. From Rfam's summary of the family: Transfer RNA (tRNA) molecules are approximately 80 nucleotides in length. Their secondary structure includes four short double-helical elements and three loops (D, anti-codon, and T loops). Lineage: Eukaryota; Metazoa; Arthropoda; Arachnida; Ixodida; Ixodidae. The record is from Rfam by way of RNAcentral.